UCUUUCCUACGGGAGGCAGCAGGGAGGAAUAUUGGACAAUGGGAGAGGUCCUGAACCAGCCAAGCCGCGUGAGGGAAGACGGCCCUAUGGGUUGUAAACCUCUUUUGUCGGAGAACAAAACCCGGGACGUGUCCCGGACUGCGUGUAUCCGAAGAAAAAGCAUCGGCUAACUCCGUGUCAGCAGGCGCGGUAAUACGGAGGAUGCGAGCGUUAUCCGGAUGUAUUGGGUUUAUAGGGU
RNAcentral lists this ribosomal RNA (238 nucleotides) under uncultured bacterium. RNAcentral's name for it is "partial 16S ribosomal RNA". It matches the Rfam family "Bacterial small subunit ribosomal RNA", at positions 333 to 568 of the family's 1533-position model. The record is from RNAcentral.